UACUGCGCGAAAAAGACUUAACGUUCGACAAGGCGGCGGAGAUGGCUACAGCAUUCGAAUCAGCGAGCCGAGGCGCAGCAGGUAUUCACAACAACGGAAUAGGCCGGAUCGCGGACCAACCAGCCGUCAACUACAUUUCCGACAACAAAAAGACGAAACCGGGCGGAUCCCGAUCAUCAUGGGAUAAUCGUAAUAAUAAUCAAGUGAAAAACUUUCGAGUGCAAAGGGUUAAUAUUCUCAGGACAGUAAUUACUCGGCGAAGUUGUUUGUUAGCUAAGGGUUGCAUCUUCUCGCCGACGUCACAAUUAUGUGGGUGACGGUAAACUGUGCGAAAAGGGCGGAUGCAGCAGGUGGCGCGACAGCUGCGAAUUCGUGAAAAAGUCACGCCGGACUAGGCAGCCAAUAAGCGUCCAACAGGGAGAGGUCUCCGGAGUUGUAGUGCCAACUUUGAGCAACAACGAGGACUCGUGGAAUUAUAGAAUUGGAAAUAUUGAAGCCAAUAACACUUGUAUACAAUAUAAUUUUUGGGAUAAAUGAUUAAUGCG
Nomia melanderi (Alkali bee) is the source of this 545-nucleotide non-coding RNA. The record is from RefSeq and is a predicted model, not a curated record. Lineage: Eukaryota; Metazoa; Arthropoda; Insecta; Hymenoptera; Halictidae.